AGUUGAAUCCCUGGGUCAUAUGGUAGCUCUAUCUUUAACUUUUUGAGGAACUGCCAAGAUGUUUUCUAAAGCAUCUGUACCAUUAUAUAAUCCCAUCAGUAAU
RNAcentral lists this microRNA precursor (103 nucleotides) under Marmota monax (woodchuck). Lineage: Eukaryota; Metazoa; Chordata; Mammalia; Rodentia; Sciuridae. The record is from RNAcentral.